RNAcentral lists this ribosomal RNA (482 nucleotides) under uncultured bacterium. RNAcentral's name for it is "partial 16S ribosomal RNA". It matches the Rfam family "Bacterial small subunit ribosomal RNA", at positions 30 to 507 of the family's 1533-position model. The record is from RNAcentral.
AUUGAACGCUGGCGGCAUGCCUUACACAUGCAAGUCGAACGGUAACGGGCCUUCGGGUGCCGACGAGUGGCGAACGGGUGAGUAAUACAUCGGAACGUGCCCGAUCGUGGGGGAUAACGAGGCGAAAGCUUUGCUAAUACCGCAUACGAUCUACGGAUGAAAGCAGGGGACCGCAAGGCCUUGCGCGGACGGAGCGGCCGAUGGCAGAUUAGGUAGUUGGUGGGAUAAAAGCUUACCAAGCCGACGAUCUGUAGCUGGUCUGAGAGGAUGAUCAGCCACACUGGGACUGAGACACGGCCCAGACUCCUACGGGGGGCAGCAGUGGGGAAUUUUGGACAAUGGGCGCAAGCCUGAUCCAGCCAUGCCGCGUGCAGGAUGAAGGCCUUCGGGUUGUAAACUGCUUUUGUACGGAACGAAAAGCCUUCUUUUAAUACAGGAGGAUCAUGACGGUACCGUAAGAAUAAGCACCGGCUAACUACGUG